GUGCUCGCUUUGGCAGCACAUAUACUAAAAUUGGAACAAUACAGAGAUUAGCUUGGCCCCUGUGCAAGGAUGACAUGCAAAUUCAUGAAGCGUUCCAUAUUUUU
Molecule: small nuclear RNA, 104 nt
Filed under: Microcebus murinus (gray mouse lemur)
Lineage: Eukaryota; Metazoa; Chordata; Mammalia; Primates; Cheirogaleidae
Source: RNAcentral